RNAcentral lists this ribosomal RNA (171 nucleotides) under uncultured Corynebacterium sp. RNAcentral's name for it is "partial 16S ribosomal RNA". It matches the Rfam family "Bacterial small subunit ribosomal RNA", at positions 338 to 521 of the family's 1533-position model. Lineage: Bacteria; Bacillati; Actinomycetota; Actinomycetes; Mycobacteriales; Corynebacteriaceae. The record is from RNAcentral.
CCUACGGGAGGCAGCAGUGGGGAAUAUUGCACAAUGGGCGCAAGCCUGAUGCAGCGACGCCGCGUGGGGGAUGACGGCCUUCGGGUUGUAAACUCCUUUCGUCAGGGACGAAGCGAAAGUGACGGUACCUGGAUAAGAAGCACCGGCUAACUACGUGCCAGCAGCCGCGGU